RNAcentral lists this ribosomal RNA (153 nucleotides) under Cupriavidus pauculus. Its description in RNAcentral is "partial 16S ribosomal RNA". It matches the Rfam family "Bacterial small subunit ribosomal RNA", at positions 1381 to 1533 of the family's 1533-position model. Lineage: Bacteria; Pseudomonadati; Pseudomonadota; Betaproteobacteria; Burkholderiales; Burkholderiaceae. The record is from RNAcentral.
UUGUACACACCGCCCGUCACACCAUGGGAGUGGGUUUUGCCAGAAGUAGUUAGCCUAACCGCAAGGAGGGCGAUUACCACGGCAGGGUUCAUGACUGGGGUGAAGUCGUAACAAGGUAGCCGUAUCGGAAGGUGCGGCUGGAUCACCUCCUUU